AUCGGAUUCCAAAGAUGGGUAAACUAAACCAGGAACAAAAAAUAGCUUUUAUUGCAGCAGUAUUAAACAGGAGUUUGAGGGAGGGGAAAAAACAAGGCUGGAUUAAAGCACAGGCUCACUGCAGGCCAGUGCCGAGGACCCCUGCUCCUGGACUGAUGUGAUCACAUCAGAAUCUCAACUUCAUUUUAAAAAAGGCAAGAACAGGGAUUCAGAAUUGCUGCUUUCUGUAGACUACAAUGGACUUCUUACUCCCCUCGAUCCCAAUAUAUGCUCCUGGAACAGAAGUCAGGAUCUACUGAAAAGGAAGAGGAAGGAAGGCCUUCCUUACGCUCGAGUACCGGCUGAAAGGACUGCUAUAUCAGGAGGUCAGAGCUGCUUGGAAGAGAGCUGAGGCCUGCAAUAAAAUGAACUGUGGAGGAGGACGAGACAAAAGAGGAAAAGAAAGGGAGACGAGGAGGACAAAGCAAGAGGAGAGAAGAUGAGAAGGGCACCCGAUCAACUACAAAUGGCACACAGGGAUAGAUCACAGUGCAGAAUCAGGCAGAAUGUGUCUCUCUAAAGAGCAUAUACAGUGUGUUCGGAUACACACCCUGAAGGGCGGAAUAGCUCCAGUUAAAUGCUGCACUGACUACCAGUUCCAGUAUUUUUUUAACAUGUAUAUUAUUUACUCAGUGAUCCAGGUCUCAUUUAAUUAGGUAAAUAUUAAAACCAUGCCAGAAAAUAGGGGAUUUUUUCUUUUACUACUGAGAAAAGUGGGAUUUAAAAAAGCGUUAAUGAAAAAAUACUGGUGUUUUAGCCUAGGGCAAGUUUUUACAGCCAAGAUAUAAACUACCGGUAAUAGAGAUUUAUAAUUGACACAUUCUAACUAGAGAACCAAUGUAAAACGAUACACAUACAAAUUAAUCUAAACUGCUACUAUCUCUGUAAAACCACUACUAGGGAUCCGAUUUCAUGACUAAGAAAUAUUUUAAGUAUAUUGUAAAUAGAAUUUACUUACGGUACUUAAAAAUAAUAAAAACGUAAGCACAAUUUUUACUUUUGAACAUAAGGACAAGUUUGUCACCUCCCUGUCUAAACCCCCCCCCGUUCAAUAUAGUACAUUUAUCCUUUAUAAUUCAAUGUGUAUUGCCACAU
Long non-coding RNA from Malaclemys terrapin pileata, 1134 nucleotides. RefSeq lists it as uncharacterized. NCBI's taxonomy places the organism in Eukaryota, Metazoa, Chordata, Testudines, Emydidae. The record is from RefSeq and is a predicted model, not a curated record. The transcript is spliced from 4 exons.